ACGAACGCUGGCGGCGUGCUUAACACCUGCAAGUCGAACGGAAAGGCCCUGCUUUUGUGGGGUGCUCGCGUGGCGAACGGGUGAGUAACACGUGAGUAACCUGCCCUUGACUUUGGGAUAACUUCAGGAAACUGGGGCUAAUACCGGAUAGGAGCUCCUGCUGCAUGGUGGGGGUUGGAAAGUUUCGGCGGUUGGGGAUGGACUCGCGGCUUAUCAGCUUGUUGGUGGGGUAGUGGCUUACCAAGGCUUUGACGGGUAGCCGACCUGAGAGGGUGACCGGCCACAUUGGGACUGAGAUACGGCCCAGACUCCUACGGGAGGCAGCAGUGGGGAAUAUUGCACAAUGGGCGGAAGCCUGAUGCAGCAACGCCGCGUGCGGGAUGACGGCCUUCGGGUUGUAAACCGCUUUCGCCUGUGACGAAGCGUGAGUGACGGUAAUGGGUAAAGAAGCACCGGCUAACUACGUG
Molecule: ribosomal RNA, 467 nt
Filed under: uncultured bacterium
Lineage: Bacteria
Description: partial 16S ribosomal RNA
Rfam family: Bacterial small subunit ribosomal RNA
Source: RNAcentral